UUUCAGAGUCAUCCCUUUGAGGAGUGCAAGGUUUAAAAGUAAAUAUCCUCCCACCACCAAAACUCACUGGGUAGAAAUAGCCUUUGGAGGAAUGGCAACCCAGUUUCCUCUGCAGCAACCCAGUCCGCCUCCCAAUGCUGAGAAAUGUGCUGUGCUCAGCAUUUCUGUGCUGAUGCCGCUGCAUCCAUGGUCGAAAAGGCGGGCGGCUGCAGCAGCCACAGCAGCAGUUGCUCUAGGGGUUAGAAAUCAGAUCGCAGCAUUUCUACCUCAUUUGGCAGCAGAAGUCCCGGGUCAUGAGGAAGAUGAGGUUCUAGUCCAGAAGCUGCUGGGCUUUGUCACUCUGAAGGUGUCAUCAAAGAAGAAAAGCCGGAGUAGGGGAAGCAGAUGGGACCUGCGUGUGCGGACAUCGCCGGGGCCAAGCUAACCCAGAGCUCCCGAAAAACACUCCGCACGGGCACAGCAGCACAACAAAAGGAGCCUCCCGAAGUGAGUCUAAACGUUCGCGGGACGGGCGGCGGCCGGACGUGGGGACG
This 533-nucleotide long non-coding RNA is filed under the name Capra hircus (goat). RNAcentral describes it as "lncRNA (ENSCHIG00000007806.1)". The record is from RNAcentral. Lineage: Eukaryota; Metazoa; Chordata; Mammalia; Artiodactyla; Bovidae.